Molecule: small RNA, 554 nt
Filed under: Pongo abelii (Sumatran orangutan)
Lineage: Eukaryota; Metazoa; Chordata; Mammalia; Primates; Hominidae
Description: processed transcript
Source: RNAcentral
GACUUUGUGUUUUGGUGGGGUGGUGGACACUGGGUCCCCUAGGAGCCUCCCCAGGCUUAAUGAUUGUCCAGAAGGUGGCUAUAAAGGGAGCUUGGGAGGCAGGGUGGAGGAGGGAGCAGAAAAAACCCAACUCAGCAGAUCUGGAAACUGUGAGAGCGGCAAGCAGGAGCUGUGGUCAGAGGCUGUGCGUCUUGGCUGGUAGGGCCUGCUCUUUUCUACCAUGGCAGCCCAGGGCUAUGGCUAUUAUCGCACUGUGAUCUUCUCAGCCAUGUUUGGGGGCUACAGCCUGUAUUACUUCAAUCGCAAGACCUUCUCCUUUGUCAUGCCAUCAUUGGUGGAAGAGAUCCCUUUGGACAAGGAUGAUUUGGGGCUCAUCACCAGCAGCCAGUCGGCAGCUUAUGCUAUCAGCAAGUUUGUCAGUGGGGUGCUGUCUGACCAGAUGAGUGCUCGCUGGCUCUUCUCUUCUGGGCUGCUCCUGGUUGGCCUGGUCAACAUAUUCUUUUCCUGGAGCUCCACAGUACCUGUCUUUGCUGCCCUCUGGUUCCUUAAUGGCC